GAUGAACGCUAGCGGCAGGCUUAACACAUGCAAGUCGAGGGGCAUCGAGAGUAGCAAUACUUGUCGGCGACCGGCGCAAGGGUGCGUAACACGUGAGCAACAUACCCGUUUCAGGAGGAUAACCGGAGGAAACUCUGCCUAAUACUCCAUGACAUCAUCAAACGGCAUCGUUUGAUGAUUAAAGAUUUAUCGGAAACGGCUUGGCUCGCGGGACAUUAGCUCGUUGGUGAGGUAACGGCUCACCAAGGCGACGAUGUCUAGGGGUUCUGAGAGGAAGGUCCCCCAACUGGAACUGAGACACGGUCCAGACUCCUACGGGAGGCAGCAGUGAGGAAUAUUGGACAAUGGUCGGAAGACUGAUCCAGCCAUGCCGCGUGAAGGUUACUGUCCUAUCGGAUAUUAAACUUCUUUUGUAUGAGAGCAAUAAGGUGCACGUGUGCACCGAUCGAGAGUAUCAUACGAAUAAGCAUCGGCUAACUCCG
This 482-nucleotide ribosomal RNA is filed under the name uncultured bacterium. RNAcentral's name for it is "bacterial SSU rRNA". It matches the Rfam family "Bacterial small subunit ribosomal RNA", at positions 28 to 505 of the family's 1533-position model. The record is from RNAcentral.